Molecule: ribosomal RNA, 468 nt
Filed under: uncultured bacterium
Lineage: Bacteria
Description: partial 16S ribosomal RNA
Rfam family: Bacterial small subunit ribosomal RNA
Source: RNAcentral
GACGAACGCUGGCGGCGUGCUUAACACAUGCAAGUCGAACGGAAAGGCCCUGCUUUUGUGGGUUGCUCGAUUGGCGAACGGGUGAGUAACACGUGAGUAACCUGCCCUUUACUUUGUGAUAACUUCAGGAAACUGGGGCUAAUACCGGAUAGGAUCUCCUGCUGCAUGGUGGGGGUUGGAAAGUUUCGGCGGUUGGUGAUGGACUCGCUGCUUAUCAGCUUGUUUGUGGGGUAGUUGCUUACCAAGGCUUUGACGGGUAGCCGGCCUGUGAGGGUGACCGGCAACAAUGGGACUGAGAUACGGACCAGACUGCAACGGGAGGCAGCAGUGGGGAAUAUUGCACAAUGGGCGGAAGCCUGAUGCAGAAACGCCGCGAGCGGGAUGACGGGCUUCGGGUUGUAAACAGAUGUCGCAUGAGACGAAGAGUGAGUGACGGUAAUGGGUAAAGAAGCACCGGCUAACUACGUG